UAAGACGAACCGUGCGAACGUUGUUCGGAAUCACUGGGCUUAAAGGGCGCGUAGGCGGGUGUGCAAGUCUGCGGUGAAAGCCUCCAGCUUAACUGGAGAAGUGCCGUGGAUACUGCAUAUCUUGAGGAGGGUAGGGGCAUCUGGAACGGUCGGUGGAGCGGUGAAAUGCGUUGAUAUCGACCGGAACUCCGGUGGCGAAGGCGAGGUGCUGGACCCUUUCUGACGCUGAGGCGCGAAAGCCAGGGGAGCAAACGGGAUUAGAUACCCCGGUAGUCCUGGCCCUAAACGUUGAGGACUAGGUUGUGGACUUAACAUGGGUUCACAGCCGGAGCAAAAGUGCUAAGUCCUCCGCCUGGGGAGUAUGGUCGCAAGGCUG
This 376-nucleotide ribosomal RNA is filed under the name uncultured bacterium. RNAcentral's name for it is "bacterial SSU rRNA". It matches the Rfam family "Bacterial small subunit ribosomal RNA", at positions 521 to 896 of the family's 1533-position model. The record is from RNAcentral.